AGAGUUUGAUCCUGGCUCAGAUUGAACGCUGGCGGCAUGCCUUACACAUGCAAGUCGAACGGCAGCGCGGGGCAACCUGGCGGCGAGUGGCGAACGGGUGAGUAAUAUAUCGGAACGUGCCCUGGAGUGGGGGAUAACGCAGCGAAAGUUGCGCUAAUACCGCAUACGAUCUAAGGAUGAAAGCAGGGGACCGCAAGGCCUUGUGCUCCUGGAGCGGCCGAUAUCUGAUUAGCUAGUUGGUGGGGUAAAGGCCUACCAAGGCAUCGAUCAGUAGCUGGUCUGAGAGGACGACCAGCCACACUGGAACUGAGACACGGUCCAGACUCCUACGGGAGGCAGCAGUGGGGAAUUUUGGACAAUGGGCGAAAGCCUGAUCCAGCAAUGCCGCGUGAGUGAAGAAGG
Molecule: ribosomal RNA, 402 nt
Filed under: uncultured bacterium
Lineage: Bacteria
Description: bacterial SSU rRNA
Rfam family: Bacterial small subunit ribosomal RNA
Source: RNAcentral